Molecule: long non-coding RNA, 3439 nt
Filed under: Homo sapiens (human)
Lineage: Eukaryota; Metazoa; Chordata; Mammalia; Primates; Hominidae
Description: non-protein coding SOX2-OT:9
Rfam family: SOX2 overlapping transcript exon 3 (bases 507-782)
Source: RNAcentral
AAUGCAUUUGCUUUCAGCCGCAGAGAGAAGAAGCUGCCCAAGAAUGGAAAGGAAGAAAUAUAUCACAUCAUCUGUCUGUCCACAGGCUUUCCUUGGGGCUUAUGAAGUGAAUGAAGGAGGGAAGAAAGGAGAGACAGAGAAAAUAUGGAUUUCCUCAUGGUUGUGAUUCCUCUUCACUCUUUUGAAUUUGGAAGGAUGGCAUACACAUCUGAAAAAUACCACUACUUCCUUCAUUGGACUGCAAGGUAUUUCUGUUUGGAAAAGUAAUGGAGUCCAGUCAACUUCAUUGAUCGCCAAGGACUGUCAAAAUUAUAAAACUUGCUGUGGAGCUCUGACAUGCCAGAAGCCGCUAGAAAAAGAAGUUUGACAUUCAGAAACUUAUCAAGAGGUUCUACUCUUUGGAUAGAGACCAAAAUCAUACUUUGAAAAAGCCUGACAGGUUUCUUCGGAAAAGUGGCCAUCCAUGGAAUGAAUGAAAUGUUCUCUUUCUAUUCCAGGGAUUGCAGUGGCAAAGCUAGGCUAGGUCUUGGAGGCUGGUGUAAGGCGAUGUGGGUGAAGGCAGGAGGCUGAUGGAAAGACUGGGGGGAAGAAAAGCCGAAAUGGAUUCACGGUGCCUUGGAUGAAGGACGAGAGGGGAACUGCAAGCUCCUUCAACUGGUUCUGUCCGGUGAGAAGUGAUCAAGCUUGGGCUGACAAGAGGCUCAGGGAGCCCUCACGUUCUUUCGCUUUUUUACCUGCCAAUCAAACUGCUACAAGACAACACCCUGAUCUGGCAUGGACAUAUCCAACUUAGAAAUAAUGUUUCAUUCAAGAUAAGGCUCGUGGCUUAGGAGAUUGUGACCUGGCUUGCAUCAUUCUAAGACUUCUAUCGUCUGUUUUCAAAACCCAAGGAGGACCUCCUUUUCUGUGUGAUAGUUCCUCAUGCUUUGCCAGCCACUGGGUCUUUAAGGAAGCUUGCCAAGAGUUCCCGGCUGGGAAGGACAGUUCGAGUUCAUCAUAGACAAUGAGCUGGCACCACAGUUUAAGUGACUCACCAACCUGGUUGCCCACUUCAAAAUGUCAAGAACCACACUAUCUAAUUGAAAGAACUGUGUUUUAGCAAAGUGUAAUUGGAUCGCCUGGCAAGAUCAUCUCAAACUAUGUCUCUGACCUUGCCUUUCAGUGGCUAUUUUGAGCACAAGAGGAGAAAGGAAAUGAUUCCUGAAUUAUAUCUUGUUUUUAAAAAUUAAGAUUAAUUAAUACUUGGUUUUAUGUUCAUUCCAUUGUAGGAACUUAGUGAUUAUUACAAAACAGUCAAAAUAGGUCAUAGCAAAAUGAACGUUUAAGAUUAGGUUAAAACAUUCCUCUGAAAUUUUAGUAUUCACUUUUGAAGUGUCAAUUACUAUAUUUCUGUAAUUUCUCAUUUUUUUCUUGGCUUAGAGUCAAGAUGAAAAAUGAUAUUUGAAUCAAAGACAUUGUUUUGUUAUAUAGCCACUCCUUUCUAAAAUGCAAAUCCACCCUCCCCUCACCAAUGCUUUAUUCUUUGUGCGCGCACACACACACACACACACACACACACACACACACACACACAGACAUACACAGAACCAGCACCCAAAUGGUAGAGGAGGUCCUUCCAAGACUUCUAGGACCUGGAUCAUGUAAGCAGUAGAUGAGAAAAUGAAGUAAGAGAUAUAGAGUAAUAACAAUAAAAGUCAAUGAUUUCAUUUUACAAAAAAGUCAUUGUGUAGUACUCAGAUAUUUUUAAGAGCAAGUAUUAUUAUGACUAAAGUAUAUUAUACUUCUAAAUUAUUAUGAUUCUCAUCUAAUUUCAAGCCACACAUAGGCGCCAUUUGAAAGCAUUUUGUGUUACAACCUAUCAACAAAAAUCAACUAAUAGUUUUAUAACGUGCAUAGGUUUACCCCAUGGGGAAUUAAAAUUUUUAUCUGCAAGUAUUUCUGUUGUUGUGAGACUUUAGGACAAGACAACAUUUGGUGUUAACAUAGAAGAAUAUUCUAUGGCUUUUUUAGCUUUAAAGUUCAUUACUCUAAAAUAAAGUACACGUGGUAUUUUUUUCUUCCUAGUGUUCUCUUAUUAUAUGUAGAGUAUUUUCGGUUGUUGUUUUUAACGUAUACAUUAUUUUUAUUAAGUCAUUUCAUAAAAGAUAAGAUAUAUACUAAUAGACCCUUGGUUUUCUCCUAAUUUAAUUAUUUCAAGUCAAGCAAAAUUGGGCAAUUUUCUUUCAGGAAAAAAAAAAUAUUGAGCAUGAUUUUGAGGUAAAACUGAUUAUUUACAGCAUCUUUUCUCUAAUAGGCUAACAUUUAUGAUGGAUCUUAUUUCAAAGUUGAUUAUUCUCAAAGAAAAGUGGAGAUAUUAGAAUUUCCGAGUAAAUUGCAUUGUUUUAAAAAGUACUUUAAUGCAUUGUUCACAUUGUUGCCAGCUAUUGACCAAAAAAGAGAAGAAGAAAAAAGAAAUAAAAAAAGCAGUAUCUGCUCCAAACGUCAAGUUUUGCAGUUUGAAAGACUUGUACAUUAUAAUUGUUUUUUUCUUUUUUGGAAAGCAGUAGUAAUUAAUACCAAAGGCAUAGACAAUUUAGGGCCAUAACCUCCCUUCCCCCCUCUCCACCUUUUUUUUUUUUUUUUUUUUUUUUUAACUUUAACCAUGAUAGGCAUCUCUGCAAGGUAGGUUUUAACAUAUUUUUUUCCUAAUUUUUUUCCCUCCAUUCAGUAAGAAGGAUAAGCUUUUAGAGUACCCAGUCACCGUGGUAACUGCCAAAAAAAUUCUCCUGAAGUUUGAAGAGGUCAGCUAGCAGGGUCAACAACCCUGGCCUCUCUCUGAGCUCGGUCUAGCAUGCCCCAGCCUGCGGUUGGAGUGUCAGGCCAGAUCUGACCCUGGGAGGUGGACCAUUCUGGCUCUGAUAUAAAUUUUUCGAGUCAGUUCAUGGCCUGGACUCUCCAGGUGGCCUCCAAAAUCGAUUUUGACCCCCUGACCCUGUCUCACGGAGGCAUAGCAUCCACCCUAAGUAAGGAUUUAGCCAGGAAUGACAGCUUUCCACUGAGUGUUAUUGGGGACAGUAUAAACAGUUUGGAAAGCAAGUAAGGAGGUGUGAGGGCUAGCAAUCAUUAAAAGCACAUUAAAAAACAAUUUUUAAAAAUCUUUAUUAGAGAAAGUUGUAAAUGCAUAUCUGUUACAGAAUUCCUGUGAUUUGUAGAGUUUUCUAGUCAGUUUUGAAUAUAAAUAGGUCACAUAUCUUUAUCUUUUUGCAUACUUUGUUACAAAUAUGCAAAUAAGAUAGGCAUACUUGCUACAAAAUAGGUACAGCAGGAAUGUAAUAUGUUCAGAAAAGGCAAACUGGUUAUUAAAACACAUUAACAGGUAAGGAGUUUCUAAUAUUUUAAAUACUAAAAUUUUACAUGUGUAUUUUGAAGUUUUUAAAAUGGAAAAAUAAAGAACCUUUAA